CAGGGGAACGGGGGCUGCAGAGUUUUAAUUUUUCUUCUCUCUUUUCUUGGAAGAAUGGCUUGGCAUUUGGAAUUUGGUUGAAUGAAUGAAGCAUUUUAAUUUUCUUUUCAUUCCUCGUUGAUUGAAUUGAGGGCACACGGUAUUUUCCUUUGAGCUGGAACAGCUGCCAAACAUUUCAAUUUUCUUUCUCAGCGUGGAUUCCGUUCAUGUAGAAAGCACAUUUUUCAUUGAAUUUGCACUGCACCCGCUGUCACGUCCUAAGUUUUGGGAAGCACAAGUUUUUUUUUUUUCUUUUUAGUUGACCAUUUCGAUUCAUUGCUAAGUUGGUUGGCAUUUCUUUAGCUUAUUUCUUUUUUAUUGUUAAGUGAAGAGUAGAUUAGGUAGAAGGUGAUGUUGCCAAGUGUGAUGGGACGGUGCUGAUAGCUUAGGUGUGGUUAACUUUGCUUUUAUUUUAUUUCUUUGAAUAUGAAGAAGUGACUUGAUGAAGUGGGUGUACGGUGACAACAUGGGAGGUGUUGAUUUAAUUUGCUUUUGAUGAGAUCAUUUGCCUUUGGGAAAUGGUGCAGCAUUCACGGCUGUUUAGAGAAGAAGUCUAGCUUGUUGCAUUGGGAAGUGUCAUCCGUGCAUAGGUUGAGGAAGAGAAUGUUUUGCUUAUUUUAGUCAUUUAAGAUUGUUCAUGUGACUCACACUUUAGAGAGAAUCACUCUGGCCAGC
Molecule: long non-coding RNA, 714 nt
Filed under: Vigna radiata
Lineage: Eukaryota; Viridiplantae; Streptophyta; Magnoliopsida; Fabales; Fabaceae
Description: long non-coding RNA (VRAD_LNC014095)
Source: RNAcentral